RNAcentral lists this ribosomal RNA (492 nucleotides) under uncultured bacterium. RNAcentral describes it as "partial 16S ribosomal RNA". It matches the Rfam family "Bacterial small subunit ribosomal RNA", at positions 29 to 507 of the family's 1533-position model. The record is from RNAcentral.
AGUGAACGCUGGCGGUAGGCCUAACACAUGCAAGUCGAACGGCAGCACAGUAAGAGCUUGCUCUUACGGGUGGCGAGUGGCGGACGGGUGAGGAAUACAUCGGAAUCUACUUUUUCGUGGGGGAUAACGUAGGGAAACUUACGCUAAUACCGCAUACGACCUACGGGUGAAAGCAGGAGAUCUUCGGACCUUGCGCGAUUGAAUGAGCCGAUGUCGGAUUAGCUAGUUGGCGGGGUAAAGGCCCACCAAGGCGACGAUCCGUAGCUGGUCUGAGAGGAUGAUCAGCCACACUGGAACUGAGACACGGUCCAGACUCCUACGGGAGGCAGCAGUGGGGAAUAGUGGACGAUGGGCGCAAGCCUGAUCCAGCCAUGCCGCGUGGGUGAAGAAGGCCUUCGGGUUGUAAAGCCCUUUUGUUGGGAAAGAAAAGCAGCAGGUGAAUACCCCGCUGUUCUGACGGUACCCAAAGAAUAAGCACCGGCUAACUUCGUG